CAGGUUCUUUUGGUAAUCCUGGGCUGACUUUCAAGACACAAUCCAUGGGAAUAUGUAGGAAUGAAAGCAGAGACUUUAUUGGAUUCAUUGUUUCACCAUCUGUGAUUUGUAAAGAGCCAGGCACAUGAGAAAAUUUGUAAAGGAGAAAGAAACUUAAGAAAACAAGCAGAGGGUCAUCAAGCUAACACCUUGCCUCAUUCCAGAUGCUUAUUUACCUCACUGGAGACUUACAAGAAUUUACUGAUGUUAAUGGAAUCAGAAUGAGACACUGUGAAGAGAAACAAAGGGAGUCAAUGGACAGAUGAGAUACGGAUGGUGAGACCCAUAAACUGGCUUUGAAUACCAGGGCUGCAGGGAACCAAGGGAGGCCUUUAACUAACAACUUGCAAGAAACUGAGGCCAAAUGCCAACAACCUCCGAGAAGCUGAAUCCUGCCAACAGCCAUUUCUACAAAUAAUGAAAAUGAGAGUCAAGGGAAGACAUUUACUCAAGGGCACACAUUUACCAAGUGCUGAAAUCCGAUGUCAAGCCGAGAUAUGUGUAUUGUCGAAACCAAGCUCCUUUCCCUACACUGAAGUUUUCAACUGUAGCUGUUCAUUGUAAUCACCUGAAAAGCAUUAACUAAACUUCGAGAAAUCCUGAUUAAUCUUCCCGGGCACAGCCUGGGCAAUGGGAUUUUUUUAAGGGCUUCCUGGAUGAUUCUAAUAUAGAUUCAAAUUUGAGAACCACUAGACUAUACAUAGACCCUCCCGAACUGCAUUUUUUCCUCAUGGAAUUUAACCACACUCCCAAUUCCUGAAUUUGAAAUUAAGCCACUUGAAUCCCUGUGGAAAAGGACAAAAAUUCACCAAGACUGAAGCAAUUGUUGAAUACAAGCUAUGGGGAGAAAUGUUCUAGGUGAGGAGGAAUCAGAGAGGAGAGAAGCUCUGACCUUGACUUACACUGACUCUGAAUAAAGGAGAUUUUAUUACAGACCAGGAAACCGAUCAGCAGUUCUCCCCACAUCUUAUACGGCUAGACUAUUUACUCACAUUUCACUCGUCCUUGAAUAAUGGCCAUUUUCCUUGAAUGAUGCUGUAUUAGAGUUGGAAAGGGAACCUAGAAUUUCAUUAUUUUUUAUACAAAGAAACUGAAUCUUAGGGGCAGUGCUUUGCUAAAGGCCAUACAGAGAAUUAGUGGCAGAACUGAAUUUAAUCUAAAUAUUUACACUCUUUGCUCAAAUGUCUCGUUAGAGAAUCCUGCCCUGAUUGCUAUGUAUAACAUAGCAGCCACCCUCGAGCACUCUCUAUUCCAUUUACUCUACUUUUUCCCCAUAGCUUUUAUCAUACAUGUUGUUCAAUUAUUUAUUUCUGUCUUUUCCCCUUACCACACUGAAAUGAAAACUGCACAAGAGCAGGAUCUUUACUUAGUUUAUUUGAUGCUGUACCCUUAAUGCCUGGUGGCCUGAAGGGGGCUCUCAGUAAGAGUUAGCUAAUUAAAUGCAGAAUAACUAGUCAAAUAUUCAAAGAUGAACCAUCCUGAGAGUCAAUAAAUUCAGCAUAAAAAGCACAAGAAAGUACAGAAUGGA
This is a long non-coding RNA of Odocoileus virginianus texanus, 1567 nucleotides long. RefSeq lists it as uncharacterized. The record is from RefSeq and is a predicted model, not a curated record. NCBI's taxonomy places the organism in Eukaryota, Metazoa, Chordata, Mammalia, Artiodactyla, Cervidae.